CCUACGGGGUGCAGCAGUGAGGAAUAUUGGUCAAUGGGCGCGAGCCUGAACCAGCCAAGUCGCGUGAGGGAGUACUGCCCUAUGGGUUGUAAACCUCUUUUGUCGGGGAGCAAAGGCCGGACGUGUCCGGCUGUGAGAGUACCCGAAGAAAAAGCAUCGGCUAACUCCGUGCCAGCAGCCGCGGUAAUACGGAGGAUGCGAGCGUUAUCCGGUUUUAUUGGUUUAAAAGGGUGCGCAGGCGGAUUUUAAAAUCAGCGGUCAACUCGUGGGGCUCAACCCCAUCCAGCCGUUGAAACUGGGGAUCUAGAGUGUUCGAGAGGUAUGCGGAAUGCGUGGUGUAGCGGUGAAAUGCGUAGAGAUUAGGAGGAACACC
Molecule: ribosomal RNA, 373 nt
Filed under: uncultured bacterium
Lineage: Bacteria
Description: partial 16S ribosomal RNA
Rfam family: Bacterial small subunit ribosomal RNA
Source: RNAcentral